CAAGAACACUGAAUAAGCUAAACUAUAAAGCCCCUGGGGAGCUCAAAGAGAUCACUACUUAAAUUAAGGAGAGUAGCUGCUGAGCUAGAACACAGCAAUUCUCAGACAGCUAUAUCCUAAGAGUCUUAUGAAGACUCGUAGACCAAGAAUGAAUUUUGAAUGAAUGAAUGACAAUACACAGCUAGCCAGGUAAGUCCUUCCUGAAAAGCUGCCCAGACCACAGAGAAUUAGAGAGCUAGCACAUAUAUAUCCUCAGAUAGCUAUGUACCUAGGAAGAGGCUACCAAAAGGAGGACUGACCAAAACUACCCAGACCACAGAGAGUGGGCUGUCUACUUACAACCCAAGGAGGGGAGACAGCGCUAUCAAGGCAUCAGUCAAUGCAAGGCCUUUGUGGUCAGAAGUCGGAGACCCCACAUCCAACACUGAAUGGAACGCAGUGUUAGAGCAGAGAGAGGCCUUUGGAAGGCAACCAGGCACAAACGCGCAACAGCUGCUGCUAUCUGCUGGCUGGAUUCAUAUGCAACUAGUGCAACCGUUUGGUUGUACUAAAAUGGAAGUGAUGCUGCCAUGAUUUGGCCUUCACAGAGCAAACUGCAAGCAUAUCACAAGGUCCCCUCUUUGAUCACACCCAUUGCUGGUGUGACCAGCAUGUCCUGAAAUACUUCACAUUUUUACAUACAUAUCUAAUUUGUACUGCGAAAAGAGCUGCUAAAAUUGGCUGUUGCCUUUCUGUGCAAUAAUUGAUUAAUUAAUUCUGGCUGAGAGGCAUGAUGUCUCUGAUGUCCUGCUGGUGUUUCCAUCACUAAGCCAUGCCGAACGUUUGUCCAAUUUGAUGUAGAUAUGUUAUUCUCUCCUGGCUGCCUGCCGGCCACACUCGAUCACACCUCAGCCUUUAAAGUGCACGCCAAGAUCAAUCAUCUGCUGGGGCCAAGGUGUAACUUCAUGAAAUAAUUAUUUCACUGGCCUUUGGAGUAUGCAGUGGGCUGAAAAUAAACAGCGGUGGGUUGUGCAGGAAGAGGAAAGGUGUGAGGAGAAGAGAUGCAAGAGGCCAUAGUGUGAAAUGAGAGCAGCGGCAGCAGAAUUUAUGGCUGACAUUCAUGUUAUGGCAGCGGUUCAGACAUGACCUCUUCACUCACUCAGCAGCUGCCUGCUCUUCACUGCCUUUCUCCACCUGUCCCGAAAGCACGCCACUCUCAAGGCUAGACCAGAUAAAUCUGCACGUCUGAAGCGAACACUAUCUGUUAGUAUGCUGCAAAACCUAAUGAGAUGGCUACAUAGUGUUUGCAUUACAAAAGCUCUUUCAAAACGUAGAUGCCUUUUGAUACCUUCUUUCACACAAAUUAUAAUUAUGGGGCAGAUUACUGAUUAAUAAAAACAUUUUCUCGUGGUUCUUUGCACAAUACAAUGUAAUGACCUCAAAACACUUUUAUUAAAGUGUGUCAUUUGUAAACAUAUAUAUUUGCACUUUUGCAUCACUUAAUUAACUUACUACUAACAUAGUAAACUUGCUCAGUAGCUCACCUAAUACAACGCUGCACUUGUGAUGCGAAGCACUCAGCAACGAGUUCUAAGAAACAGAUGUCAUGACUUUGAGCUCAGAAACUUGUAGAAGCAAGCUAACGUGAUAAAGCAUUAAUCAUUUAGCGUCACUAAUCUAAUAUUUCAUUUUUAAAUUGCUGUGAUACGUACAACAACCAAUGUAAUAAAGCAUUACCACUUUCACAUUAUCUAUAUUGAGGAGAACUGAACUAACUUUUAG
Long non-coding RNA from Cyprinus carpio carpio, 1761 nucleotides. The record is from Ensembl. Lineage: Eukaryota; Metazoa; Chordata; Actinopteri; Cypriniformes; Cyprinidae.